UGCAGAAGGUGAUGUUUGACGUCCUGUACAGCUGCAGUUCGUGUGGUGAAGGUGCUCCCACAAUGUGGUUGGGGAUCUGCACUGGAACCCUUCUGUUUGCGGGACAAAUAUAUGUAAGUGACAUGGAUUAAAAUCUAAUUUGGUCAACACAACCAUGAACCAAGCAAUGAUUCCUCAUCCAACACUCACAGGAAAUAUCUGAUGCCUUCU
Long non-coding RNA from Hemiscyllium ocellatum (epaulette shark), 210 nucleotides. RefSeq lists it as uncharacterized. NCBI's taxonomy places the organism in Eukaryota, Metazoa, Chordata, Chondrichthyes, Orectolobiformes, Hemiscylliidae. The record is from RefSeq and is a predicted model, not a curated record. The transcript has 3 exons.